RNAcentral lists this ribosomal RNA (510 nucleotides) under uncultured bacterium. RNAcentral's name for it is "partial 16S ribosomal RNA". It matches the Rfam family "Bacterial small subunit ribosomal RNA", at positions 28 to 507 of the family's 1533-position model. The record is from RNAcentral.
GACGAACGCUGGCGGCGUGCUUAACACAUGCAAGUCGAACGAAGAGCGAUGGAAGCUUGCUUCUAUCAAUCUUAGUGGCGAACGGGUGAGUAACGCGUAAUCAACCUGCCCUUCAGAGGGGGACAACAGUUGGAAACGACUUCUAAUACCGCAUACGAUCUAACCUCGGCAUCGAGGAAAGAUGAAAGGUGGCCUCUAUGUAUAAGCUAUCACUGAAGGAGGGGAUUGCGUCUGAUUAGCUAGUUGGAGGGGUAACGGCCCACCAAGGCGAUGAUCAGUAGCCGGUCUGAGAGGAUGAACGGCCACAUUGGGACUGAGACACGGCCCAGACUCCUACGGGAGGCAGCAGUGGGGAAUCUUCCGCAAUGGACGAAAGUCUGACGGAGCAACGCCGCGUGAGUGAUGACGGCCUUCGGGUUGUAAAGCUCUGUUAAUCGGGACGAAAGGCCUUCUUGCGAAUAGUGAGAAGGAUUGACGGUACCGGAAUAGAAAGCCACGGCUAACUACGUG